RNAcentral lists this ribosomal RNA (254 nucleotides) under uncultured bacterium. RNAcentral's name for it is "partial 16S ribosomal RNA". It matches the Rfam family "Bacterial small subunit ribosomal RNA", at positions 524 to 776 of the family's 1533-position model. The record is from RNAcentral.
UACGGGGGGAGCAAGCGUUGUUCGGAUUUACUGGGCGUAAAGGGCGCGUAGGCGGUCAGCACAAGUCAGUUGUGAAAUCUCCGGGCUUAACUCGGAAAGGUCAACUGAUACUGUGCGACUAGAGUGCGGAAGGGGCAACUGGAAUUCUUGGUGUAGCGGUGAAAUGCGUAGAUAUCAAGAGGAACACCUGCGGCGAAGGCGGGUUGCUGGGCCGACACUGACGCUGAGGCGCGAAAGCGUGGGGAGCGAACAGG